This 253-nucleotide ribosomal RNA is filed under the name uncultured bacterium. RNAcentral describes it as "partial 16S ribosomal RNA". It matches the Rfam family "Bacterial small subunit ribosomal RNA", at positions 524 to 776 of the family's 1533-position model. The record is from RNAcentral.
UACGUAGGGUGCGAGCGUUAAUCGGAAUUACUGGGCGUAAAGCGUGCGCAGGCUGUUCGUUGUGUCGGCGGUGAAAGCCCCGGGCUUAACCUGGGAAUGGCCGUCGAAACUGACGAACUGGAGUGUGGCAGAGGGGGGUGGAAUUCCGCGUGUAGCAGUGAAAUGCGUAGAGAUGCGGAGGAACACCGAUGGCGAAGGCAGCCCCCUGGGCUGACACUGACGCUCAGGCACGAAAGCGUGGGGAGCAAACAGG